Coregonus clupeaformis (lake whitefish) is the source of this 310-nucleotide long non-coding RNA. RefSeq lists it as uncharacterized. NCBI's taxonomy places the organism in Eukaryota, Metazoa, Chordata, Actinopteri, Salmoniformes, Salmonidae. The transcript is spliced from 3 exons. The record is from RefSeq and is a predicted model, not a curated record.
CCCGUCAUCACAGACAACCAGGGCUACACGCCACUACACUGGGCCUGCUACAACGGCCAUGACACGUGUGUAGAGGUGCUGCUGGAACAGGAGGUUUUCCACAAGACCGAGGGCAACUCCGUUCAGCCCCCUCCACUGAGCUGUGAUCAAUGACAACGAGGGGGCUGCAGAGAUGCUGAUUGACACUCUGGGGCCGGCCAUUGUCAACGCCACUGACACCAAGAACCGGACCCCCUGCAUGCGGCGGCUUUCACGGACCACGUGGAGUGUCUUCAGCUGCUGCUAGGCCACAACGCCCAGGUCAACUCCC